AAUUUGAAAGUUUUCCUUUCAUACAGAAGAGGUUGCUGUGGAAAUUAAACCCUAAAUUCCCAAAUUUGAGUCACAUUAUCAAAACAGUGUUUUCUCGCAAUCGCAUCUCACAACGGGAUUUCAAUUUCUUGGCGAAUAAUAACAGGGCCAGAAAAACUGUUCUUUUGAGCUCAAAUUGAUGGAGAAAAUGGAAGAAGAAGAUGAUUAUGAGGAGUAUGUGCCCGUGGCCAAACGUCGGGCCAUUGAAGCUCAGAAGAUUCUCCAACGCAAGGGGAAGGCUCCUUUGGCCACAGAUGAUGAUUUGGAGAGAUUGAGGGCGGCUGAAUCGAAGCCUAGUCUGCUGGUUAAAGCUUCACAGAUGAAAAGAGAACAACCCGAGAUCAGUGUGACGGAGCAGAUUGUUCAGCAGGAGAAAGAGAUGAUUGAAAACUUGUCGGAUAGAAAAACCCUCAUGUCUGUCCGUGAAUUGGCUAAGGGAAUCACUUAUUCGGAACCUUUGCCAACAGGGUGGAAGCCACCUUUGCAUGUAAGAAGGAUGUCCAAGAAGGAGUGUGAUUUGAUUCGGAAGCAGUGGCAUAUAAUAGUUGAUGGUGGUGAUAUCCCGCCCCCAAUUAAGAAUUUUAAGGAUAUGAGAUUUCCUGAGCCAGUUUUGAAGAAGUUGAAAGCUAAGGGGAUUGUGCAACCAACACCUAUUCAGGUGCAAGGACUUCCUGUAAUCUUAUCUGGGCGGGAUAUGAUUGGGAUUGCAUUCACGGGCUCUGGAAAAACUCUUGUCUUUGUUCUACCGAUGAUAAUGGUGGCAAUGCAAGAGGAGAUUAUGAUGCCUAUUGUUCCUGGGGAAGGUCCUUUUGGUUUGAUUAUUUGUCCAUCAAGGGAACUGGCUAGGCAGACUUAUGAAGUGGUAGAACAAUUCUUGAUACCUCUGAAAGAAGCCGGAUAUCCGGAGCUCAGGCCUUUGCUUUGUAUUGGUGGAGUGGAUAUGAGAUCGCAGCUUGAGAUUGUGAAGAAGGGUGUGCAUAUAGUUGUUGCCACUCCUGGGAGGUUGAAGGAUAUGUUGGCCAAAAAGAAAAUGAAUCUUGACAACUGCAGGUAUUUAACAUUAGAUGAGGCUGAUCGGUUGGUGGAUCUGGGAUUUGAAGAUGAUAUUAGAGAAGUUUUUGAUCACUUCAAAGCUCAAAGGCAGACUCUUCUAUUUUCUGCAACCAUGCCAACGAAAAUUCAGAACUUUGCCAGGAGCGCAUUGGUGAAACCAAUCAUUGUCAAUGUGGGACGUGCAGGGGCAGCAAAUCUUGAUGUAAUUCAGGAGGUAGAGUAUGUUAAGCAGGAGGCAAAAAUAGUUUAUCUCCUUGAGUGCCUACAAAAAACCCCUCCACCAGUUCUCAUAUUUUGUGAGAAUAAGGCUGAUGUCGAUGACAUCCAUGAAUACCUUCUCUUGAAAGGAGUGGAAGCAGUGGCAAUUCACGGAGGCAAGGAUCAGGAAGAGAGAGAGUAUGCCAUUGCAGCUUUUAAGGCUGGCAAGAAAGAUGUGUUGGUGGCAACUGAUGUUGCAUCCAAAGGUUUGGAUUUUCCUGAUAUUCAGCACGUCAUUAACUAUGACAUGCCAGCUGAAAUUGAAAAUUAUGUCCAUAGGAUUGGCCGAACUGGUAGAUGUGGGAAAACUGGUAUAGCAACGACAUUUAUAAACAAGAAUCAAAGUGAAACAACAUUACUUGAUUUGAAACACCUAUUGCAAGAAGCAAAACAAAGGAUUCCCCCAGUUUUGGCUGAGUUGAACGAUCCAAUGGAAGACAAUGAUGAAAUCACAGGCAUAAGUGGAGUCAAGGGAUGUGCAUAUUGUGGUGGACUUGGUCAUCGUAUCAGAGAUUGUCCCAAAUUAGAACAUCAGAAGAGCAUGGCGAUUGCAAAUAAUAGAAAGGAUUAUUUUGGAUCUGGAGGUUACAGAGGGGAAAUUUGAAAGGCUGUCUGUUGGGUACCAAUUUUCUUUGAACAUUACUAGGUUGAUUCAUGUUGGAAUAGGCAGGUGAUUUGUCAGGAGCAGAUGUCUUCUGCUCUGGUAUCAACAUUGUCAUCUCAUCUUCAGUGUCAUUAUUGAACUCCAACAAGUAUAUUUUCGUCACAAAAAAGCGCGUCUGAGACAUUGCAAGAAGUUCUGGUUGCUUUCACAAGUGUAAUCAUGACAAGUAGUGCAAAUUAGUCAAUGAUUUUUAGGAGAGGACAAUGACAGAAACCGUAUAUAUGGUGAUGGUCUUAUUGGCUUCAGUUACACUUUGCUGACUUUUUA
Vigna radiata var. radiata (mung bean) is the source of this 2281-nucleotide RNA transcript. It is a transcript of the gene named DEAD-box ATP-dependent RNA helicase 35, with no coding region annotated. The record is from RefSeq and is a predicted model, not a curated record. The transcript is spliced from 4 exons. Lineage: Eukaryota; Viridiplantae; Streptophyta; Magnoliopsida; Fabales; Fabaceae.